RNAcentral lists this ribosomal RNA (253 nucleotides) under uncultured bacterium. RNAcentral describes it as "partial 16S ribosomal RNA". It matches the Rfam family "Bacterial small subunit ribosomal RNA", at positions 524 to 776 of the family's 1533-position model. The record is from RNAcentral.
UACGGGGGGGGCAAGCGUUGUUCGGAAUUACUGGGCGUAAAGGGCUCGUAGGCUGCCAACUAAGUCGGACGUGAAAUCCCUCGGCUUAACCGGGGAACUGCGUCCGAUACUGGAUGGCUUGAGUUUGGGAGAGGGAUGCGGAAUUCCAGGUGUAGCGGUGAAAUGCGUAGAUAUCUGGAGGAACACCGGUGGCGAAAGCAGGCUACUGGACCAUCACUGACUCUGAUCUGCGAAAGCUAGGGGAGCAAACAGG